CCUACGGGGUGCAGCAGUGAGGAAUAUUGGUCAAUGGACGCAAGUCUGAACCAGCCAUGCCGCGUGCAGGAAGACGGCUCUAUGAGUUGUAAACUGCUUUUGUACGAGGGUAAACGCAGAUACGCGUAUCUGUCUGAAAGUAUCGUACGAAUAAGGAUCGGCUAACUCCGUGCCAGAAGCCGCGGUAAUACGGAGGAUUCAAGCGUUAUCCGGAUUUAUUGGGUUUAAAGGGUGCGUAGGCGGUCGGAUAAGUUAGAGGGGAAAUCCCGAGGCUCAACUUCGGAAUUGCCGCUGAUACUGUUCGGCUAGAGAGUAGUUGCGGUAGGCGGAAUGUAUGGUGUAGCGGUGAAAUGCUUAGAGAUCAUACAGAACACCGAUUGCGAAGGCAGCUUACCAAGCUACUUCUGACGUUGAGGCACGAAAGCGUGGGGAGCAAACAGGAUUAGAUACCCUAGUAGUC
RNAcentral lists this ribosomal RNA (460 nucleotides) under uncultured bacterium. RNAcentral's name for it is "partial 16S ribosomal RNA". It matches the Rfam family "Bacterial small subunit ribosomal RNA", at positions 338 to 795 of the family's 1533-position model. The record is from RNAcentral.